This 253-nucleotide ribosomal RNA is filed under the name uncultured bacterium. RNAcentral's name for it is "partial 16S ribosomal RNA". It matches the Rfam family "Bacterial small subunit ribosomal RNA", at positions 524 to 776 of the family's 1533-position model. The record is from RNAcentral.
UACGGAGGAUCCAAGCGUUAUCCGGAAUCAUUGGGUUUAAAGGGUCCGUAGGCGGUUUAAUAAGUCAGUGGUGAAAGCCCAUCGCUCAACGGUGGAGCGGCCAUUGAUACUGUUAAACUUGAAUUAUUAGGAAGUAACUAGAAUGUGUAGUGUAGCGGUGAAAUGCUUAGAGAUUACAUGGAAUACCAAUUGCGAAGGCAGGUUACUACUAAUGGAUUGACGCUGAUGGACGAAAGCGUGGGUAGCGAACAGG